UAUAUGAUGCUGACGCAAGUUUUACAUGUUAUUUGUGUUGGAACAGUUUUGUGAUAAAGGUAUGAAAUAGAAAGAUUAAAAAGGCUUCAAGGCGUGUAGCAAUGCCACUUUCCUUAAGGCUUAAUCCGUCCCCACCGUUCUAACAAUUUGGUGUGCACCGGGUCAACGAACAACCUUCCAGGAUACAAUGAAGCGUAAACCUCAACUGCGUUUGCACACACGAAGUCGAGCCUUUGAGCACUCACUCGAUUAAGUUGUCAAAAGAAAUAGAAUAUAAAACAAGAAUGGAAUUAUUAUGAAUGAAGACUUCAACUCUUCAACUGUUUUCUGUCUGUCUCCUUCUGCAACCAAUGCUAUGGACUUAUAUAGGCCACGAACGGGUGCUUCAUGAAGUAACUAUUCACGAAAGGGUGUUUCGUGAAGUGACCUUUCGAUUGUGACUUUUCAUUUGAUCAUAACUACCAAAUAGUUAUAUGAAUCAAGUUCAAUGAAUAUAACCAUUGAUUCCAACGGGCAUAUGUACGAAGAGACACACUAUAAAGAUGUGUCUUUUCAUAUCAUAUUCUUUCACUAAAAGUCACAUCCUUUCACUUUAAGAGUCAUACCCUUUGAUUAGAGUUGCAUCCACUCACUAAGGGUUGCAUCCAUUCACUAAGAGUUGCAUCCAUUCACUAAGGAUUGCAUCCUUUCACGAAGAAUCACAUCCAUUCACUAAAAACAAUAAACAAAAUAUAUUAUUUUAAAAUUUUCCUUACAAUUUGAGAUUUGAUCAAAUGAAAUACAAGCAUGUUAGGCUACGCUUAGGCCCCACUCAUUUAUUAAAGAAGAUAACUACAUUAUGACUAUUCGUAAGCUACGUAUGUGAGAUAUAAUUGAUGUAUGAGAUGAUGUUCAGAAUCUUCUUUUUGGUAGACGUGUAUUUUUUUUAUAGGCGCAUAGUCGUAGUUGUCGGAAUAACUCCCCUAAUUCUCGACCCUCUUUUCUCAACUGCUUCCUAAUUUCUCGUCCUCGAUCAUGUUCAUUCGAAUUUCGAAUGACUCAAUUCAAAUGACUGUCUUUUUCUCGCCAAAAUUGGUGUAUUGAGCGUGAUAUCGAAAUCAAAACCAAUAUACUUUUCAGCAUAACCUUUUACGAAACUCAGGCUCUACGCCGAAAUCUCCUUCGCCGCUCCGUCCCUUUCAGAACUCAUUUUUUGUGCCAAC
Molecule: long non-coding RNA, 1202 nt
Filed under: Ananas comosus (pineapple)
Lineage: Eukaryota; Viridiplantae; Streptophyta; Magnoliopsida; Poales; Bromeliaceae
Description: long non-coding RNA (ACOM_LNC016249)
Source: RNAcentral